GGGUGCCCUGUUCCUGCAGACACCCAAAGUCAGGCUGGACGGGCUCUGAGCACCUGAUCAGCUGUGAGUGUCCUUGUUUAUUGCAGGGCAGUUGGAUUAUAUGGCCUUUAAGGAUCCCUUCCAACUCAAACAAUUCUAUGAUUCUACGGUUCUGAAGCAGAUUUGUACCACAACGCUGAGCACAGGAAGUGAAACUGGGGAGCAAAACGUUACCUCAUGGGUGUCCAACCUUUUGGGCACUAUUGCAAAGAAUACCUCUACACAAUCCUUUUCUGUAUCAUCAUAUCAAAUUGUUGUACUUUGCUAAAUGAAAUUUAGAAUACUACCAUGAAGCAGAUAAGCAGAUUUCUGAGACCUCUUCAGUUGUGAGCGGUCCUUUUAUGAGCUGGAGGUUGCCCAGGCAAUGGAGUGAAUCAAAACCCUAUCUACUGUCAGAUACAGCUAUAUUCAGCCACACAGCCACAUAUAAGAAACUUUCAUCUAGCUGCCAGGACAUCCAGAGUGUGAAAGUAAGUAGCAUAGGCUCAUGCCACCUGCUAGCCCUAUACUGGUGUACAACAAGUGCUGCAAAGCCAUUUGCCAGCACAAUGUACUCUUGUUUCCUCUGCUUAAGUACUCUGCAGUUUUCCUGAAAAACUGUUUCAAAUGGUCAUCCAACACUAGUAAGUGUUUUGGUUUUUUUUUUUCAAAAAAUUGAUCUAGUGUUCAUUAUGGCACUUCAGGAAUGAAAAUAGCUGAAACCAAGCUAGAAAAAGGCUGUAUUAAAUGAACAAAUAUCACUUCUACCAGACAACUGUAAUAACUUUCAGUUACAGGGCUGUGGAGAAACUGACAGCAUCAUUUCUUUUGGAUACGAUGAUGUCACAGGGCACAACUCCGGUCUGUUGACUGAAGGAGAUUUUGUAUUCCCAUGUAUCUUAUCGUCAGCACUUUCCAAUCAAUUUUAUCCUUUUGAGGAAGGGAAGUGAGAGUUGGAGGUUGGGUUUUUAUUAGACACAGCUGGUCAGAGGGACGUCAUUUGUUCCUAAAGCAAGGGCUGUCUUUCAUAUGGAACCAUUAGCAAUGGGGGUAGAUGGUAGGCAGAGGGAAUCACUUGAAGUAGUUUCAACAGCUGGGGGUCAAAUUAUAGAGAAAAGUGGAGAGAAGUGAAAUUUAUAAUCUAUAAUUUGAAACCAAAAUAAGAAUGAGACAAGCUUAUUUGAAGGACUGAAAGGAAAAGGAUGUGAUAUAUGGCCUGAUACUGCCAAGCAAAAUGAACGCUGCCAUUGCACUAUUACUUUGCG
Molecule: long non-coding RNA, 1283 nt
Filed under: Numida meleagris (helmeted guineafowl)
Lineage: Eukaryota; Metazoa; Chordata; Aves; Galliformes; Numididae
Description: lncRNA (ENSNMEG00000022706.1)
Source: RNAcentral